Molecule: long non-coding RNA, 240 nt
Organism: Dendrobium catenatum
Lineage: Eukaryota; Viridiplantae; Streptophyta; Magnoliopsida; Asparagales; Orchidaceae
Exons: 2
Source: RefSeq, a predicted model, not a curated record
UGGAGUUUCUGGGCUUAUGAAGCGCUUUUGUUGAGUAUGUGGUUUUACUUUAUGAGCAUUAGCAGAGCAGAUUAAUGAUUUGUAUAUUUCUUUCAGUUGUCAAGCCCUUCUGUCAAAAGACUGGAUUCCUCACAGACAGGAGACAGGAACAGGAGUGAAAAUGCUAAAACACGUUCCAUGGAUGUUUUUUCGUUGUCAUCCCAGGAUAAAACAGAGAUAAUGGGUGCUAUUGUGAAAAUU